This 588-nucleotide long non-coding RNA is filed under the name Nicotiana tabacum (common tobacco). Its description in RNAcentral is "long non-coding RNA (NTAB_LNC002499)". The record is from RNAcentral. Lineage: Eukaryota; Viridiplantae; Streptophyta; Magnoliopsida; Solanales; Solanaceae.
GGAACGACGAGGCCUCGUGCAAGUAGCGCCGCAAGGUGCCGUGCACAUGGGGCUAGCUCAGUAUGUUCCGAAUGCCAUCGGUUGUUGGGGGCAAAAUCGGGAGGCGACAUCGCUCGUGGCAGCUGAUGGCUUUUGGCAACUGAACGGCGAGGCCUCGUGCAAGUAGCGCCGCAAGGUGCCGUGCGCAUGGGGCUAAGCCCAGUAUGUUCCGAUUGCCAUCGAUUGUUGCGGGCAACAUCGGGAGGCGACAUCGCUCGUGGCGGCUGAUGGCUUUUGGCAACUGAAUGGCGAGGCCUCGUGCAAGUAGCGCCGCAAGGUGCCGUGCGCAUGGGGCUAAACUCAGUACGUUCCGAUUGCCAUCGGUUGUUGGGGGCAAAAUCGGGAGGCGACAUCGCUCGUGGCAGCUGAUGGCUUUUGGCAACGGAACGGCGAGGCCUCGUGCAAGUAGCGUCGCAAGGUGCCGUGCGCAUGGGGCUAAACUCAGUACGUUCCGAUUGCCAUCGGUUGUUGUGAGUUGUGUCUGGCAUCGCUCGUGGCGGCUGAUGGCUUUUGGCAUCGGAACGACGAGGCCUCGUGCAAGUAGCGCCG